GACGAACGCUGGCGGCGUGCCUAAUACAUGCAAGUAGAACGCUGAAGGAGGAGCUUGCUUCUCUGGAUGAGUUGCGAACGGGUGAGUAACGCGUAGGUAACCUGCCUGGUAGCGGGGGAUAACUAUUGGAAACGAUAGCUAAUACCGCAUAACAGUAGAUAUCGCAUGAUAGCUGCUUGAAAGGUGCAAUUGCACCACUACCAGAUGGACCUGCGUUGUAUUAGCUAGUUGGUGAGGUAACGGCUCACCAAGGCGACGAUACAUAGCCGACCUGAGAGGGUGAUCGGCCACACUGGGACUGAGACACGGCCCAGACUCCUACGGGAGGCAGCAGUAGGGAAUCUUCGGCAAUGGACGGAAGUCUGACCGAGCAACGCCGCGUGAGUGAAGAAGGUUUUCGGAUCGUAAAGCUCUGUUGUAAGAGAAGAACGAGUGUGAGAGUGGAAAGUUCACACUGUGACGGUAUCUUACCAGAAAGGGACGGCUAACUACGUGCCAGCAGCCGCGGUAAUACGUAGGCCCCGAGCGUUGUCCGGAUUUAUUGGGCGUAAAGCGAGCGCAGGCGGUUAGAUAAGUCUGAAGUUAAAGGCUGUGGCUUAACCAUAAUACGCUUUGGAAACUGUUUAACUUGAGUGCAAGAGGGGAGAGUGGAAUUCCAUGUGUAGCGGUGAAAUGCGUAGAUAUAUGGAGGAACACCGGUGGCGAAAGCGGCUCUCUGGCUUGUAACUGACGCUGAGGCUCGAAAGCGUGGGGAGCAAACAGG
Molecule: ribosomal RNA, 763 nt
Filed under: uncultured Streptococcus sp.
Lineage: Bacteria; Bacillati; Bacillota; Bacilli; Lactobacillales; Streptococcaceae
Description: bacterial SSU rRNA
Rfam family: Bacterial small subunit ribosomal RNA
Source: RNAcentral